This is a non-coding RNA of Maylandia zebra (zebra mbuna), 710 nucleotides long. Lineage: Eukaryota; Metazoa; Chordata; Actinopteri; Cichliformes; Cichlidae. The record is from RefSeq and is a predicted model, not a curated record.
GCAUCGCGGAAACGCCCCCUCCAUUACUCGACACAAGCCUCGAAGCCUCGAUACAGAACGUCACAUCACUACUGACAAACCCACAAAGAAACGGAGAGAUGGGGAACCACCUUUUUCUACAAAGUAAUCGUAAUUACAAAACUACUUGUUCAUCCCAUUUAUAGAUGUACUAAAGUCCCAACACUCCUCGUCCUGGAGUGAAGUCUGACAAGCGGGGAACUGGGCAGACCUCAGCUUUCCUGUCCAAGGAGUUUGAGACCACUGUACAGUCACAUCAAAAUAAUUUUGAGUCCACAGAGGCUGCUGUACGGUCCAAAAACAUGACACAGUUUGACUGAGUGAGUCACCUGCAUCCCAGGGUCAUGAUCAUGCCAUACAAUUACCUUUGAGUCACUCACCUUGGAGACAGAGGGAUGGGCAUGUCUCUGGGAAAAUCCUGAUAUAUCCCAUCUGGUGACUUUUCCUGGCUUAAAAAGGACACUGACAGAGGGCUGUUCACCCCUGUUCAGACAUACAAGGACACUACUGUUGUGUUAAAGAGGCGACGGGUGAUGAAAUCACAUCACAUUUGUUUUUACCCACCAGAACCUCCUGAGAUUGGCCACUAGGGGGACAUCCCGCGCUAAACAGGCACAGGGUUAGGGGAGUGAGACUGACGGCUCCAGAUAAAAAAGAGAAACUGGAGGCUGCUGUAGCUAGGCUAAACAAAA